GGAUCGCGGCGCGUGGGCGGUUCGCUGCCCGCGACGUUGUGAGAAGUCCACUGAACCUUAUCAUUUAGAGGAAGGAGAAGUCGUAACAAGGUUUCCGUAGGUGAACCUGCGGAAGGAUCAUUG
RNAcentral lists this ribosomal RNA (123 nucleotides) under Lonchocarpus linaresii. RNAcentral's name for it is "partial 18S ribosomal RNA". It matches the Rfam family "Eukaryotic small subunit ribosomal RNA", at positions 1712 to 1831 of the family's 1831-position model. Lineage: Eukaryota; Viridiplantae; Streptophyta; Magnoliopsida; Fabales; Fabaceae. The record is from RNAcentral.